RNAcentral lists this ribosomal RNA (410 nucleotides) under bacterium enrichment culture clone ALO1_GLFRUDD03FN6P4. RNAcentral describes it as "bacterial SSU rRNA". It matches the Rfam family "Bacterial small subunit ribosomal RNA", at positions 9 to 416 of the family's 1533-position model. The record is from RNAcentral.
GAGUUUGAUCCUGGCUCAGAUUGAACGCUGGCGGCAUGCCUUACACAUGCAAGUCGAACGGCAGCACGGGAGCUUGCUCCUGGUGGCGAGUGGCGAACGGGUGAGUAAUGCAUCGGAACGUAUCCUGGAGUGGGGGGAUAACGUACGAAAGUUACGCUAAUACCGCAUAUUCUGUGAGCAGGAAAGCGGGGGACCUUUCGGGCCUCGCGCUCUUGGAGCGGCCGAUGUCGGAUUAGCUAGUUGGUGAGGUAAAGGCUCACCAAGGCGACGAUCCGUAGCAGGUCUGAGAGGAUGAUCUGCCACACUGGAACUGAGACACGGUCCAGGACUCCUACGGGAGGCAGCAGUGGGGAAUUUUUGGACAAUGGGGGCAACCCUGAUCCAGCCAUGCCGCGUGAGUGAAGAAGGCC